UAGACAAGGUCAUAUCAAUUGGCUAUAAUAAUAUAUUGAAGACGACUCUUGUUUAUGUUUCGGGAAGGAGAGAGUAUAGAGGACGCUGGGACAAAGUGUUUCCCUCAAAUUGAUGUUUACAAGUUGAUAAAAGUCAAGAGACGAGCAAUACUUAUCAAAAUAAAUAAAAUGAAAAACAAAUUAGCCCCCAAAAAACACUAAUGACGUUUUAUUCAUAAUUUUGCGUCAUUAGAGCGAAUGCCGGGAAAUCCAAUAUCCCCUUAAAACACAUGAAAACACUUUUGUAAGACAAUUUAAACCCGUAAAAACAGUAACCACAUUUUCAUCAAGUAUUCUCCGCCAUUAAAACACAAUUAAAAAAAUAAAUAAGGAAAUAACACUAUGCAGGUCAAAGAAGAAGAAGAGGAAGACAAGAUGGCCGCCGACCUCUGCCCCAGCCGAGCCAGUCCACACUUUUUCGCCAUUCCAAGCCUUGUGGAGGGUGUGAGGUCUGUUAGGAAGUGACAAUCGUUCUCUCAGCCUUUCGACACCACAAGCAGCCGCCGGGAACCCUGCUGGUCAUACGGGGAAGGUCCCUGCCUCCCCUGAUGCCUGGGGGCAGACUCCUGGCUGGUGGCUGUCCUCCUCACACCUCCUGCCUCCACAUGUCUUCUCAAAGGUCUUUUUGGUGGUCGGGCUGUGAGUCUCCCAGCCUUGCCGAUGGAAGAUUCUCCUCCCCGGCCUUCCUCCUCCUUCAGGUCUUCCAGCUGGUCUCCUCCUGUACCUCCACAACUCCUCUGGAAG
Long non-coding RNA from Eriocheir sinensis (Chinese mitten crab), 783 nucleotides. RefSeq lists it as uncharacterized. Lineage: Eukaryota; Metazoa; Arthropoda; Malacostraca; Decapoda; Varunidae. The record is from RefSeq and is a predicted model, not a curated record. The transcript has 3 exons.